CCUACGGGAGGCAGCAGUGGGGAAUAUUGCGCAAUGGGGGAAACCCUGAUGCAGCGACGCCGCGUGAGGGAAGAAGUAUUUCGGUAUGUAAACUUCUGUCGGCAGGGAAGAACAUGACGGUGCCUGACUGAGAGGCCCCGGCUAACUACGUGCCAGCAGCCGCGGUAAUACGUAGGGGGCAAAGGUUAUCCGGAUUUACUGGGUGAAAAGGGAGCGGAGGCGGUUCAGAAAGCCAGAAGUGAAAGCCCGGGGCUCAACUCCGGGACUGCUUUUGAAACUGUUGAACUAGAUUGCAGUAGAGGUAAGUGGAAUGCAUAGUGUAGCGGGGAAAUGCGUAGAUAUUAGGAGGAACACCAGUGGCGAAGGCGGCCUACUGGACUGUAAAUGACGCUGAGGCUCGAAAGCGUGGGAGCAAACAGGAUUAGAUACCCUGGUAGUC
Molecule: ribosomal RNA, 439 nt
Filed under: uncultured bacterium
Lineage: Bacteria
Description: partial 16S ribosomal RNA
Rfam family: Bacterial small subunit ribosomal RNA
Source: RNAcentral